Transfer RNA from Neurospora crassa OR74A, 92 nucleotides. It matches the Rfam family "tRNA". From Rfam's summary of the family: Transfer RNA (tRNA) molecules are approximately 80 nucleotides in length. Lineage: Eukaryota; Fungi; Ascomycota; Sordariomycetes; Sordariales; Sordariaceae. The record is from Rfam.
GGGCGUGUGGCUCAGUUGGUAGAGCGUUCGCUUAGCAUACUUCUUACCUAGGUGUAUGCGAAAGGUCCUGGGUUCGAUUCCCAGCUCGUCCA